AAAGUUGAUGAUGAUGAUCUAAUUUCUUAUAUCAUUGCUGGUCUCGAUGAAACUUUUGAGCCAGUGGUGUCCUCCAUCGUUGGAAAAACGGAGCCAAUGACCGUGGGAGAGGCGUACUCCCAGCUGCUCAGCUUUGAGC
Non-coding RNA from Oryza glaberrima (African rice), 139 nucleotides. The record is from Rfam. Lineage: Eukaryota; Viridiplantae; Streptophyta; Magnoliopsida; Poales; Poaceae.